UUCCAGAAGAUAACUGAUCUCUAGUAACUGUAGUAAUUCUGGGUACCUGCAGUCAUAACCUCCAUGUUUUUACUGACUACAUAUUCAGCAGACAGUAAGGUUUAAAAGGUGCAAAAUACUAUCACUACAUGGCUUUGUUUUUACAUUUGGUUCACCUAGGAAACAGCUUCUUAGGAGAAGUGAGCUAAAAUUGCGUUGAAAAAUAUUUUCCUUUCAUGGUUUCUGUUUCUUAUUGUCUUGUCUGGAGAAGAUAUGCUAAUUUUUUUAACUAUGCAUUAAAAGUCCUCCUAAAAUUUUCAGCCUUUCAUGGCUGUGAUCAUUGUGAAUUUGACAUUAUUUUCUUUAUCUCUAUAGCAAGUAUGGAAUCACAGACUCACAGAAUAUGCUCAAUUGGAAGGGAUCCAGACGGAUCAUCAGAGCCAGCUCCUGGCCCUGCAAACUCACACCAUUUGCACAAGGUAUUGUCCAAAUGCUUCUGGAGCUCUGUCAGGCUGGUGCUGGGACCACUUCCCUGGGGAGCCUGUUCCAGUGCCCAGAGCCUCUCUGGGCAAAGAAACUUUUUAUUAUAUUCAAACUAAACUUUCCCUGACAAAGCAUUAGGCCAUUCCCUUGGGUCCUGUCACUGGUCACCACAGAGAAGAGGUCAGUGCCUGCCCCUCAUCUUCCCCUCACAGGAAGCUGUAAUUGCAAUGAGGUUGCCCCUCAGUCUCCUCUUCUCCAGGCUGAACAAACCAAGUGGCCUCAGCUGCUCCUCUUCCAGCUUCCUCUCAAGGCUCUUCACCAUUAUAGGCUAGAAUCUCUGGAGGUGGUUGCUCAAGUAAACUGCUUAGACACCAUGUGUGAGUACCUGGAGUCUACUUUUCUCUAAUGAACUGAGUCUAAAAUGAAGAGAGUAUCACAGAUAAAUUUCCUGCUGUCAGUAGCACACCAGAGAAGAUUAAUAAGAGAUGAAAGAAUAACUCCUCCUCACAAGAAACAGCAGAUGUAAUUUGGUGCUUGCAGCAAGGAGAUGUGCCUGACAGACGAUGCAGUCAUAUUUGCAGAGUGUGGUUCCAUCAUCCUGACACCUAGCAUGCUCUUCACUCACAAUGGGUUUGAUAUCCAGUUGCCGACUCAGGUUUUAUAUCAUGAAGUGGAUUAAUUUUGCAUCCACUGCAGCUAUGAAAUGCCUAUGAGUAAGUGCUAACUGUUCAGCAUUUCAGAAGGAAAAUAUUUUCAUUGAAGCAGAUGUUUCUCAGAUUCUUCAGGAGCCUAAAACAUUUCCUGAAAGUGUUGCUACUCUCCACAGGGAAAGACAGAACAGAUCUUCAUUUGGAAAUGAAGCAUCUCAUGAUGAAACAAAUUUGACUACUUCAGAGGAGAAAAAAAAACAUGAACAUGUGAAGAGGAAUGCUGAAGGAAGAUGGUUGACAAAGAUUUGUGAUUACUUCCAGAAUGUUAUAUCAGAAGUGACAAAAGAAGGAUAAAAUAUCAGGAUUAAUGAAGAGCUUAAUGAUCUCCUGCUGUGAUGAAGAGUCCAGGAAGCAGCUGCUGUAGAAGGAGAUGUUCUGGUACCAGCUGAGGAGCAUUUGUGGAGGAGUCAUGGAAGGUGUUAUUGCAGGGCAGGCAGAUGACUUAAGAAGGUCAUAGGGAAGAGGAAACAGUGGUUGCUGAUGUCUAAUUCAGAUUUUGGUCUUAUUUCAGAGUGAGGAGGUGUUUGGACUGAUUCAGAUUACUUCUGAAAGCAAGCAGUGGCAAGGAUGGCAGGAUUUAAGACAUCUUAGAUUUCUGUAGAACUUAGAGUUACCUGUAAUUUCCUGCCUCUCUGGGACAGAAGAGUUAUUGAAAGUGGUAUGCCAGUGGCUUCAGGUACUGAUAUUCCCAGUUGUUCUUCAAACCAGAAGAACAACUUACUGAUGGAAUUAUAGACUUAUACCUCUCUAAUGCUUUUGGAUAUGACCAGCAGCUGCAGAUCUCAAGAACAUAUACGGUGCAUCUUUUGCAAAAAUCAGACUGCCUCUGCAACUUUCUGUGACCCUGGUUUCCUUCAGCUACUGGGACACCUAUGAACUGCAGUACUAGACAUUUCUGGAGAAUUCAGUACAGCGAAAGAUAUUAGUCAAGCAGACCAGCAAGUUCUCAACUUUCCAAAACUUUUUAGGUGGUUGAAAAAAGCCAGAAACAGGCUAUUGAAGCUGAGAAAGUGCCUGGAAAAUCUUCAGCGGGUGAUCAAGGCUUUGAACAAGUGCACUGCCAGUGCUUCAGGAGUGCAGGCAAACAAACAUCAUAUAAGUAUUUUGGACACGUAAUUAAUAGAAUGUUGGAGCUGGAGAAAUCUAGUUACCACAGUCAGAGAAGGGCAGAGAGACUGAUGAAAACAAAGUGCAUGAUGACAGUGGAAAACAGGCAUGAAGAGAAAAAGCUGACAGAAAACAUUUGUAAGUUGUGCUGACGUUGAGGAAAAUAGGAUGGGAAGGCAGCAUAAACCAGGCCUGUUUUAUUCUGUAUCAUUUUAAUAAGCUCUAAAAUCCUAGCUCUUUUGAAUUAAAGGGCUCAAUAUCAGGUUUGUUAUAUGAUAGUUUUCAGAAUCAAGUUAUGCUAUAACUGUCUUGAAUAAUGCUGUUACCUCUUUUGUCUCUGUAGAUUAUCAGUAUAUUUUGAUGUGAAAAUAAUGAUUUCCAUACUGUGAGUUUGAAUACCUCUGUGCUUCACUUGCUAAAGAAAAAACAGGGAUAUCUAGAGGUAGCACCCAGUCCAGUCUUUGAGAAGCAAAGACUUUGUCUUGUUCUCUGUGGGUAAGUCAUUAACAAGUCCUCAAAGCAACUUAGAUGUUUAAAGCCUACACCCUUAACAACUAGUUUGAUCCCGAGGGUCUUUAUCUAAGCUGAGAUACCACUGAACUGAGUGUUUCAGUUGCAAUUUCUAACACACACGCAUUUCUAUAUAUACAUCACAAAUAAAGCAAACAAAAAUCACUAGUCAUUAACAGCUGCAGAUUUUUUUGUACUCAAAAUAGAAGCCAUUUAAGUUCAUACUCUCUGACUUUUAAACCCUAUUCAUUUGGGUAAUUUUUGGUCUUCAUGUGAAUUUUUUUUAAUAUUAUUGAGAUUCUAUAAUAUAGAGUUUUAGCUACUUUGGUACACAGCUAGACCUUAGUACUUCAGUUCUUAGCUGAGAAAAACUUUAGUGUGUCGAGGUUUUAUGCACUGUUUCUUGCUGUGAUUUUUGAGUGAUGUAUAAAAUAUUAUGACUUACAUCAAGUCUUGUGAGCCUUUGUUUUCCAUUCAUCUCCUCUAUAUUUCAGCUUUCUACAGUUUUAAUAGAUGUCUUCUAUUGUUAACACAAUUAAACUGCUUUGAAUAGAAUAUUUGUUCAACAGAACAUAGAGAAGGUAUUGUUUUUGGAAAAAACCUGGUGUAUAUUUUUGAAGAAUGUCAGAAUUGUGCAAAUUCCUAAUAACUAUUAAUUUCUUCUUUAUAUUCCAGUAUAUGACCAAAAAUAACUAGUACCUUCUGUCAGCCUCUAGGUGAUUCAGUUCCCCUAAGGAAAAGAUUCAUUUGGCAUUGCUCAUUUGUUUUCUUACUUGGAGAUUCCAGCAUAAAAUAAUAUAGUAGAAGUUCAGCUGGACUAAGUACCUCAUUUCAAUAGCAUAUCUGGGCUAAAAAUAGUUGGCAAAACUGAUAACCUAAAAUUAUAAUUUUGAAAUAAACAGGUCUGAAAACUUCACCCUAUCCUUGCAGCCUGGGAAAGAAAAUAAAAACAAUUUUAAAAGGCAGCAAGCUGUUGUAGUGGUGUUAAAAUAGCAAACCCACAAUUAUGUUAGGCAGAUUAGACAGCAGCUAUUUCUUUUCCCAAGCUAGUAUGCUCUGCCUACUGGUUCAGUAGUCCAGAGUUGUGGAUGGGCUGGAGCUAAGGGCUGCAAGGGGAAAGCAGAGACAAAUACUUGCUUUUGGGAGUUUACCAGUUCACAUAUAUUUCUUUUUCUUUUUUCCCAAAAAAAAGGGUUUUGAUAAUUUCAAUUACAUUAAGUAAAUUAAUAUAUAAGUAUAUUAAUAUAUUAGAAGAAAUUCUUUUUUUCAGUUCAGAUCCUCUCAGAAGCCGCAACAGAACAUAACUAUUACUCCAACUCCAAAAGUUCAUUCUAGUUUUAUUAUAAGAAAUCUCCUAACAUUUAUGAAUUUGCUGUUUCCUUUAAAUACAUUUAUGAGUUUAUUACUGUAACUUAAGCUUGUAAGACAUGGACUCCUUUUAAUCAAUCUGGUAGCUUUCCUGCAGGGAAAAUGGAUUUGCCUCAAAGUUUUUAUCAGGAGGAAGGGCGGAAAAAACUAACAGUGGUUCAGCAAGCCUAGAAAGAGUUUCUGGAAGAGGAGACUAAUAGGAUUUAGCCUAUACUGAACAUCCUGUAGAGACCUAUGGCAUGUAAGAGAGACAUUAUCACAAGCAUAUUUGGCAUUUCUAGGAAAGAGAAAUUUCUGCUAAACUGGAAAUAAAAAAUGUUGCAACACCUUUUUCUAGUUGGUCUUGAGAUUAAAGAUUUUGAUAUUUCCAGUUCCAUUAACUGUUCAUUCCUGGGCAAUUCUAUUACAAUAUCAUGAUACCGUAGAGACACAAGUCUUUCAUGGACAAUGCCCACAGACAUGCCUUUGACUUUGAAUAAGUCGACAAUAGUCUUAGGUCAUAGAGAUUGUGGUUGACAUCUUUCCUGCAUAGCUUCAAGAUUAAACUUAGAGAUCUAAAUGAAUGAAAAUCAGAAAUCUUGCAAGAAAGUGAAAAAUUAUAUCUGUGUAAUACUAAUGUCUCCCAUCUCUGCUAUAUGCAAAUUUUCCAGCCCAGACUUGCUUCUUCUAUGAGACUGGAUAAGACCACAGACCACCGUGGUUUGGUUACAGGCUGAGACAUUGCAUCCAGAUAUACACAAAGAAAUGUGAUAAGUAGCAAAAACUUCAAGUAGCACUGACAUAUAUAACCACUGUUUCAGUGGCAAAGAAAUACCAUAGACACAGCAUUCCCCACUACAGCUUUAUAAAACACAAACGGUAAGAGCAACUGCUGUGGGAUAUAAAUUAGGAAAGCCUCAGGGGCAAAAAAAAUUGCCUUCACAAUGUCUGAGGGUGUUGAUACUCUGUAGCAGACCAGCCAAAUAAUAGUCUUAUAAGCUACUUGAUUAGAAAGAGUUUUGGUUUAAAUGCUCUCUCAUUUACAAUUAGAGGUGUUAAUUCAAUGGCUAAAGGUCAGGAAUUACUCACUGCUAGCACUGUGUCUCAGAAGCAUAUCUGGGAAAUGGUCAUCAGCUCAAAUCAGAGGUGUUAAUAUGCAAGUAAAGGUCACAGUGCCUUUUGCUGAAUGAAAUUAGCAGUUCUCUAGAUUAACUUUUUCUGAAGGGAUGGCUGUUAGUUGAGGCAAGUAUGCCUUCGCAGGGGCAUUGCAGUUAAGCAUCUGCUUUUCACAAGAGCCAAGGCUUUGCUGAGACAAUUUUUAUACUGCUAGGGAUAGUUUCAACAUUUCUUCCAUUGUCUGGAUAGAGAUGAAUUCAAAAAAGUAAAAGUGAGUAAAUUCAUUGUAGUGAAUGUUUCUGAGUGUGAUUGAAAGAAGAUAAACUUUAUAUAAACCAAAAUUAAGUGCAAACAAAGGUAAGCAUACUCACCUGAAGCUGUAGCUAGUAGGUCUAGUGCCUAGAGUAUUUCACAUGGAUGCUCUGUCAAUUACUUUCUGGUAGCUCAAUGACCCUGUUUACCUUGUCAGUACCACAGACGUUGAAAAUGUACAGAAUUACCUUAUCAGUUAUUUCUUCUGCCUGGGCAGAAAUAUAUGCAUGUGGAGUCUUAAGCUGAUUAUGUCCUUUUAGACAGCUUGUUCAGGUUUCUUUGUGACUCUUUUUCUGUCUUGAAAUCAUUAUAGAGCAAGUCUUAGGCUUCUCCUAGUACGGUGCUGUCUGCAGAGAAAAUGAACUUUUCUACUCUGUUGACCAAAACAUUGUGAUGCCAAAAUUCUUGUCAAUAUUGAAUAUUGUCUGUAAAAAUAUGGAGCAGAAUGAGAACAUAUCUGUAUCAGGACAUAUCUAUAAGAAAUUUGAUUCAACAAAGCUUUUCAGAUUAAAAAUGAA
Molecule: long non-coding RNA, 6082 nt
Organism: Passer domesticus (house sparrow)
Lineage: Eukaryota; Metazoa; Chordata; Aves; Passeriformes; Passeridae
Exons: 10
Source: RefSeq, a predicted model, not a curated record